This 234-nucleotide ribosomal RNA is filed under the name uncultured bacterium. RNAcentral describes it as "partial 16S ribosomal RNA". It matches the Rfam family "Bacterial small subunit ribosomal RNA", at positions 103 to 334 of the family's 1533-position model. The record is from RNAcentral.
CCGGGUGAGUAACACGUGACUAACCUACCUUCAAGUGGGGGAUAACCUCGGGAAACCGGGGCUAAUACCGCAUAAAAUCUUUGGGAUGGAAAUUCUGAAGAUCAAAGGAGCAAUUCGCUGGAAGAGGGGGUCGCGGCUGAUUAGCUAGUUGGCGGGGUAAUGGCCCACCAAGGCAUUGAUGGGUAGCUGGUCUGAGAGGAUGAUCAGCCACACUGGAACUGAAACACGGUCCAG